Long non-coding RNA from Sebastes umbrosus (honeycomb rockfish), 152 nucleotides. RefSeq lists it as uncharacterized. The transcript has 3 exons. The record is from RefSeq and is a predicted model, not a curated record. NCBI's taxonomy places the organism in Eukaryota, Metazoa, Chordata, Actinopteri, Perciformes, Sebastidae.
UAGAAAUGGUCAAACCAAAAAGUCGUCCUCCACAGCAGCCAGUAAGUACUAUGGCUUGUCAAACCAAGGAGCAACAUGCUACCUGAACAGUGUGCUGCAGGUGCUGUUCAUGACCGAAGACUUCAGAGAGGCUGUGAAAAGGCACACCUGUG